Non-coding RNA from Pelobates cultripes (western spadefoot toad), 219 nucleotides. The record is from the annotation of a GenBank genome assembly. Lineage: Eukaryota; Metazoa; Chordata; Amphibia; Anura; Pelobatidae.
CACAGACACACACAUACAGAAAAACACACAUACAUACUGUGACAAACUUACUUCCCGGUGUGUGUUUGUCCAGGAUCUUUUUGGCAACUGCAGAGCCCUCUAGUUUAAGGAAGCCAUGUCAAAACAGAGUCCAGUUACAAAGGCCUCAGGCCUGUUUAUUUUCUGUUGUUAAGAAGUAGCACGAUACAACAGGAUACAACAGGAUACAACAAGCAACAA